RNAcentral lists this ribosomal RNA (301 nucleotides) under uncultured bacterium. RNAcentral describes it as "partial 16S ribosomal RNA". It matches the Rfam family "Bacterial small subunit ribosomal RNA", at positions 509 to 808 of the family's 1533-position model. The record is from RNAcentral.
CAGUCGCCGCGGGAAUACGUAGGUGGCAAGCGUUGUCCGGAAUUAUUGGGCGUAAAGCGCGCGCAGGCGGAUCAGUCAGUCUGUCUUAAAAGUUCGGGGCUUAACCCCGUGAUGGGAUGGAAACUGCUGAUCUAGAGUAUCGGAGAGGAAAGUGGAAUUCCUAGUGUAGCGGUGAAAUGCGUAGAUAUUAGGAAGAACACCAGUGGCGAAGGCGACUUUCUGGACGAAAACUGACGCUGAGGCACGAAAGCGUGGGGAGCAAACAGGAUUAGAUACCCGAGUAGUCCCUGUCUCUUAUACA